UACAGGGAGGUACAGCUGUUGUGAAUUAUUGGGCGUAAAGCGCGUGUAGGCGGCUUUGCAAGUCGGGUGUGAAAGCCCUCGGCUUAACUGAGGAAGUGCAUCCGAAACUGGCAGGCUAGAGUACCAAAGAGGGUCGCGGAAUUCCCGGUGUAGAGGUGAAAUUCGUAGAUAUCGGGAGGAACACCGGUGGCGAAGGCGGCGACCUGGGUGGAUACUGACGCUGAGGUGCGAAAGCGUGGGGAGCAAACAGG
Molecule: ribosomal RNA, 251 nt
Filed under: uncultured bacterium
Lineage: Bacteria
Description: partial 16S ribosomal RNA
Rfam family: Bacterial small subunit ribosomal RNA
Source: RNAcentral